Molecule: ribosomal RNA, 372 nt
Filed under: uncultured organism
Description: bacterial SSU rRNA
Rfam family: Bacterial small subunit ribosomal RNA
Source: RNAcentral
CGGGGGGGGCAAGCGUUGUUCGGAAUUACUGGGCGUAAAGGGCUCGUAGGCGGCCAACUGAGUCAGACGUGAAAUCCCUAGGCUCAACCUAGGAACUGCGUCUGAUACUGGAUGGCUUGAAUCCGGGAGAGGGAUGCAGAAUUCCAGGUGUAGCGGUGAAAUGCGUAGAUAUCUGGAGGAAUACCGGUGGCGAAGGCGGCAUCCUGGACCGGCAUUGACGCUGAGGAGCGAAAGCUAGGGGAGCAAACGGGAUUAGAUACCCCGGUAGUCCUAGCCCUAAACGAUGAAUGCUUGGUGUAACGGGUAUCGAUCCCUGUUGUGCCGAAGCUAAUGCAUUAAGCAUUCCGCCUGGGGAGUACGGUCGCAAGGCUG